AUGGCCAUAUCAGGUGGACACAUCAUUCUCCAUACGAUCACCGAAGUUAAGCAACGCCGAGCCUGGUCAGCACCGACCUGGGUGACCGCUUGGAAAUACUAGUUGCUGUAAG
Non-coding RNA from Acanthosepion pharaonis, 112 nucleotides. The record is from the annotation of a GenBank genome assembly. Lineage: Eukaryota; Metazoa; Mollusca; Cephalopoda; Sepiida; Sepiidae.